Arachis ipaensis is the source of this 305-nucleotide non-coding RNA. The record is from RefSeq and is a predicted model, not a curated record. NCBI's taxonomy places the organism in Eukaryota, Viridiplantae, Streptophyta, Magnoliopsida, Fabales, Fabaceae.
GAGGCCAUUACGGCUUGCCUUUAGAUGUCUUCCUCGGGAUAGCGUCAUUUAAAGAACGACGGUCAGCACGACAUUAAAAAAAAACCGAAAAAAAAACCGAAGGAGCCUACCGAAUAUGAGGCCAUUAUGACUCGCCUUUAGGUGUCCUCCUCGUGAUAGCGUCAUUUAAAGAACGAGGGUCAGCACGAUGUAAAAAAAAACAGAAAAAAAAAUCGGAGGAGCCUACCGAAUAUGAGGCCAUUAUGACUCGCCUUUAGGUUUCCUCCUUAGGAUAGCAUCAUGGAAAGAACGAGGGUAUGCACGAC